Long non-coding RNA from Bufo bufo (common toad), 1356 nucleotides. RefSeq lists it as uncharacterized. The record is from RefSeq and is a predicted model, not a curated record. The transcript has 4 exons. NCBI's taxonomy places the organism in Eukaryota, Metazoa, Chordata, Amphibia, Anura, Bufonidae.
CGAGAGGACACUUUUAGUUUUUUUCCAGGGCCAUGUUAAGUUACCAGUCUGUCUCUGGUGAUGUCCAAGGGUAGGCAACUUUGAUGGAAGCAAGCAUUUUAAUGAAAUAUAUGGUAGAAAAUAGCAAAUAUUCCAGUAUAAAGUUGAUGCCCUGUUGUGGUUCUAUUCCCAUUUACAGGAUCAUUGCAGUCCAGACAAACCCUUGAUGUUCCAACCUUUUUCUGUGUGUGGGUAGCUGUGCAGAGACACCCAAUGAAUCCUGCUGACUGUCUGAGAACAUUGCCAUUUAUAGCCAUAAUCCUUUCACACUUCCGCCUGGAUUUACUUAUUAGCGUCAGUAAGAAUCACUACGCAUCAAGAAUGGAAAAUGUCAUACAGAAGAAGCCUAGAGACAAUGAUUUAUUUUAUUUAUGUGUUUAAUUACAUUCCCAGUGGCUUAAAAGUUUGCAUACAUGUGUAAAACAAAUAAAAAAAACGAUGGAAUACCUGCAGAGACCAAUUUAGAAGGGAGAUAAAUGCAAAACAGCUCAGUGGAGAUGGCGGGUUAAAAAAGAAACCCUAUAUGUACACAAAAUAUCUUCAAUUCUUAAAACCUAUAAUGGAGUUACGAAUAACUGUAGACAAUAUCUCUCAUGAAUCUGGCUCAAGACCUUAGUCUACGGAUGUGGAGGUAGAAACACAGGAGGAGAUUACAGCAGAGGCGUCUACAACAGAACAACUAUAGCCUUCAGAGCAAAUAGAAGAAAUACCAUCUGCACAGGCUAUGGAAGAAGACAUUAUAAAAAUGGGACAUGUUCGUGUUUAACUGUGAAGCCAUACACAAAUUUAAAAUAAUAUUAAAAUGAUUAAAUAAUUUUUUAAAGACGUAAUUAGAAAUAAGGUAUUAGAAAGUAUUUACACCAAAUUUAUAAAAAUAUUUGAAUUUUACAAAAUACCUCAGACCUCAAGCCCGCGUCAAAGGUCCUCAUUCUCUUGCGAGUCCCUAAUCUAAACUAACAACAGGGGAUCUAACUAAACUAAAAAAAUAUAAAUUUUAAUAAAAUUUAAAACCAGAUUCCAGCUGAAUUCAGCAACUUCCACGGAUGGCGUCCAACUGCCAUGACAAUGCCCCCUCAGGACUGCAGAAGUAGUCGGCAUAGAGUUCCCAAAUAGCUAGUCCAACUGUUGCAGGGCGUCCAGGCCAGUUUAGGUCUAAAAUGACAGAAGAUGUCAUAUUUAGGCCCAAUUCUGCAUCUGUGGAGGCAUCGUGAAUCCUGGUGAAGUUGUGCAGGAGUACACAGGCAUGUAUCACCAGGAUGGCAUUGUCCGGAUUCAUCUGUAUGGAUGACAUGAACACUCUCCACUUUGUGGACAGUA